This 411-nucleotide long non-coding RNA is filed under the name Amborella trichopoda. RNAcentral describes it as "long non-coding RNA (ATRI_LNC003975)". The record is from RNAcentral. Lineage: Eukaryota; Viridiplantae; Streptophyta; Magnoliopsida; Amborellales; Amborellaceae.
CGCACCACAAACUGUACCCAACAAUCUUGUACUCAAUCUUUUUCACAAAGUCCCCAAGGCAACUCCUGAAAAAGCAAGGAACCCACUCAAGUCUGUACUCGAAGACCUUUUAGUUUCUUUAAGAAGAAGAUCUUGAAUAUAGCUAAAGCAAUAUGUUCCAACCCAUUAGCAAUAGCGUUGCAAAGUUUUGGGUAUGUAAACGAUAGAAAAAAAAAAAAAGGCAAAAAUGCCUCUUGGCUAUUUUUGUUGUUUUCCCUUACCUGAAAACAUCUUCUACCUAUUUUCCCUUAUCUGAAAACGUCUUCUACCUAUUUUCCCUUAUCUGAAAACGUCUUCUUGAGCCUCUUGGCUAUUUUCCGAGCACCGUCUCGCUUAAUAACACCAUUAUUCUCACAUUGUUGCAAUUUUAUU